This 252-nucleotide ribosomal RNA is filed under the name uncultured Gardnerella sp. Its description in RNAcentral is "partial 16S ribosomal RNA". It matches the Rfam family "Bacterial small subunit ribosomal RNA", at positions 100 to 355 of the family's 1533-position model. Lineage: Bacteria; Bacillati; Actinomycetota; Actinomycetes; Bifidobacteriales; Bifidobacteriaceae. The record is from RNAcentral.
GGGUAGAGUAAUGCGUGACCAACCUGCCCCAUGCUCCAGAAUAGCUCUUGGAAACGGGUGGUAAUGCUGGAUGCUCCAACUUGACGCAUGUCUUGUUGGGAAAGUGUUUAGUGGCAUGGGAUGGGGUCGCGUCCUAUCAGCUUGUAGGUGGGGUAAUGGCCCACCUAGGCUUCGACGGGUAGCCGGCCUGAGAGGGCGGACGGCCACAUUGGGACUGAGAUACGGCCCAGACUCCUACGGGAGGCAGCAGCC